Molecule: long non-coding RNA, 1481 nt
Organism: Liolophura sinensis
Lineage: Eukaryota; Metazoa; Mollusca; Polyplacophora; Chitonida; Chitonidae
Exons: 6
Source: RefSeq, a predicted model, not a curated record
CUGUAAUGCGUAAUCCCGCAACUGUGAAUCUCGUUUUUCUUGUGAGAAGCAUUCCCUGAUGUCCGUAGUGACAUUGAAGCAGAAUUUCAGACACUGGCAGCACCCUUGAAAGAACAAACAGCGGUCUUUGAAGACCUUAUCACUAAGCUGAAAAAAUGUGUAGCAGAAACGGUGACAUUGAAGCGUGAUAUUCAGGCUAAUCAGGACUGUCACUUGGGUGAGGUUGAUAGAGCAUACAACAGAGGCCAGGAAGCUUUGGAAUCUUGGAAGCGGAAAGAAGUGAAGGAUGUAGAAGAGCGACACAGCAAGUGGUUCAAUGUAUGUGAUGAAGGCAUCAAACAUCUUCAAAUCAAAAUUGAUGAAGGGAAAACACUAAUUUCUAGAACAAAUCACAUUUUGUCGACUCCCAAGGCUGAAUAUGUCAGGGAUUUCGGGCGUUACGGACCUCUAGUACAGAGAAGUAUUUCAGCCUACAGCGAUGUCCUUGACAAGCAGACAGCCGACAAUUUAAGAUGCCGUCUUUCAAUACAACGCGACCCCGCAACCACCAAAUCUGUUGGUGUUGUGAAAAACUUGUUUGAAAAUCAAUCCAGUGGAAUAACUGUGGCAACACCCUCUAUGAGUUCAUAAGGGCAGGACAUUACGUGGGCCAAUUGAAGAUCCAGCAAGAUGGGUUGACCGUUACCACUGUGGGCCUUAGUGGCAAAAUAUCUUUCACUUUUGGGGCGUUGACAGAUGGCCUCCUAGAAGAUGGUAGAUUUUACUGGGAGAUUGGUGUCCCUUCUAGCACCUUCUGGGAAAUGGGUGUGUGUGUUGGGCGUCGGUAAUAAAGACAGUCUGGAGGAGCCUACUCGCAAGUACAAGUAUGUUACGUACGCCAUCCCACUAAAGUGUAACAAAAACAAGUACAAAUGGUGCCUAUACAGCAAAGAUCCUGCCGACAAACCCAGGGAGAAGUGGAAGGCCUGCAGACGGAUAGACAGAGUUGGUAUUUAUCUGGACACUUAUAGUAAGAUCAUGAUAUUCAUAGACUGCAGCAGGAAUCAGGUUUUUGCUACUAUAAUUGAGCUGAAUGUGUCGAGUCCCUUUGUCCCAGCGGUUAACAUACUGACUAGCUCCAAUGGUGUAUCAGUUCACUUGAUAUCACAGCCUGAUCUUCCGCAAGUCUUGUGUGACAAGCUGCGGGAGUUAGCGGCCAGGCAUCUUGUCGUGAACGUCAUUUGAUUAUUUCAAGUAAUCUAGAUGCAUUCAUUGUACCCGAAGCAAAAUUAGUUCGCCAAUAGUACUGAACGUAUGUAUGUACACACGGCUGGUUUAGAUGUAAUGUUUACACUUAAGGUUGUCACCAGUUUAGAAAAAAAGUGUGUAAAUGUUUAAUUAUUACUCGAACAAGCCUGGUACGUGGGAAGAUCUGUCAGCAACCAGCGGAUGGUCGUGGUCGAACAAGGCUGUAGUGGUGUAGAUGUCAAUUAUUUUACCAG